This 987-nucleotide long non-coding RNA is filed under the name Populus trichocarpa (black cottonwood). RNAcentral's name for it is "long non-coding RNA (PTRI_LNC002800)". Lineage: Eukaryota; Viridiplantae; Streptophyta; Magnoliopsida; Malpighiales; Salicaceae. The record is from RNAcentral.
AUCCGUUUGCUGGUAGAACGUUCAGUUGAAUCAGUUGGAAAUUUCAAGGUUAAUGAUGCAACCCACGUUGAUGAUGAAGAUGAGGUGCAAUCAGCUGUAACCGAGGUAAGUUUCAUCAAUCUAGACAAUGUAGAGUUUCUGUUGUAAUGCAUCCAUCAAUUAUUUUUUGUUCAUACAAUCAUUUGAUGCAGGCCACUGGAGAUGCUGAAAAACAGGCCUCUACAGUCGAUGAAGAUGAAGAUGAGGUGCAAUCAGCUGUAACCGAGGUAAGUUUCAUCAAUCUAGACAAUGUGGAAUUUCUGUUGAAAUGCAUCCAUCAAUUAUGUUUAGUUCAUACAAUCAUUUGAUGCAGGCCACUGGGGAUGCUGAAAAACAGGCCUCUACAGAUGAUGAAGAUGAAGAUGAGGUGCAAUCAGCUGUAACCGAGGUAAGUUUCAUCAAUCUAGACAAUGUGGAAUUUCUGUUGAAAUGCAUACAUCAAUUAUGUUUUGUUCAUACAAUCAUUUGAUGCAGGCCACUGGAGAUGCUGAAAAACAGGCCUCUGCAGUUGAUGAUCUGCAGAAUGAAAGCCCACUUGCAAUUUCCAAGACCAACAAGGAAAUUGCUGAAGAGUCUUCUUCAAAUCUGAGGUUACGAGUGAAAAGGGAAGCUGACUCCGGGAGCGGUCAGAUAGCAUCGCCAGCUUUUCCAGCUGCACCUCCUGCACAUCAUGGACACAAAUCAUUAUCAAUUUAUGUCAGCAUUUUCCUCCUCCUGAUCUUGUUCAUAGCUUUUGCUGGGAUGUGGAGAUCCCUCGAGUCUGUGAAGUUGCUCUGGUUACAGGAUGGUGCAAGUGAUAAUUUGUAGUGCAUGUUUUCUUUCAACGAGGAGCAGCAUAGUUUUGUAGAUGGAAUUUAAACACUUAAAAGGCAUAUAUAACGGAGGUCACUGCUUGCUACUAGUGUGUGUAUACUAUGACCUCUUGUUCAUGUAAACUUGGAUUAGUUU